ACUUUGUACUUCUUGGCAAAAGUCCUUGUGUUUACUGGAUACGCACGGCUUUUUUCUACACCAGCAUGCUCCAUGCUCUGGGCCAGGACCUUCUGGGGCACCCAGGCCGAGGUUCCCAGAGGCUUAAGGACAGGCUGUGGGACAUGUGGACGUCUGGGCUGAUGGCAAGUCACCUCCCCAAGGAUGCCUUCCAUGCUCCCCGUCUCUGUCCUGCCGUCCUCCCUCCUGGCAGCUGUCUCUCUGCCUGAUUUUCUCCUGUCGGUGAGAAUACAAGCACCUUGAGAAUAA
Molecule: long non-coding RNA, 288 nt
Organism: Suricata suricatta (meerkat)
Lineage: Eukaryota; Metazoa; Chordata; Mammalia; Carnivora; Herpestidae
Exons: 2
Source: RefSeq, a predicted model, not a curated record